UUCCAUGAAUGCGCAGUAGAUAAUCGUACAAAUAUCAACACGAACAUAGAGCGUAGGAUCAUCCUUGGCUCACGUAUAGACUCGGUUUGUCGGUUGACCCGAAUUAAUAUCCACCUCCUGUCGGGAUUUUAUGGCGAACAUCAAGCGUUCAUAUAAAAGUACGGUAUCCUUUUGCCAAAGGCACAGUAAGUUUUGUGAAAUCGUCGAAAGAAAUCAUACAUUUUUUCCAACAUCUGCUCGUAGUACUCAAUUCUAAGCGGUUCGAACAAAUUAUGAAUUUCCUAAGGAAGCAAUUGAUGCUCGUAUUCCUAAUGGCAGUAAUCGGAAUGUUGAGCAACGUUGUUAAUUGUCGAACAACCUCAAGACCGCUGUCGGGUGCAAUAACAGCUUACCCGAUUCCGCCACUUCCAUCGUACGUAUCAUCGGGCGGUUGGGUUUAUCCGAAACCAAUAAUUCACGAGUCCCAACACAAAAAUGUGAGACCGUGACGAUCGCAUAUGCCUGCACAACGGAUAACGAGUCUUGAAUACCGAUGGAUCGUCAAUUACGGCGCAAAUUCUACUCUCAGGUUUUAACAUGGAUUUUUCGAAGAACCUCGCACUCCGGAUGCACUUGAACAUCAAUCGUAACACACCAGUACUAGCUUGUAAAAUAAUCGCACUAGUUUUUUUCGUGUCCAAUUAUAGUAGAUAUACAACGAACAGACAGUGUUUAAAAUAUAAUUUUAAAUGCGCACUACCAACAAUUGAGGAUCCACUCCACUCUUUUAACGAUGUUCGACUCUCAGUUUCGAAAAAAAACUAACCCUCAAUAGUACUCACAUUGACUAUUGCAUACCAUUUUCGAUUGAGUUGCCUCGAGCAACGGUGCGCGAAUAGAAUAUUUUCAAAAAUCAUUCGAUGUAUGUGUAAAUUUCUCAAGCUGUCACUACGAUUCAGAAUCAAAUGAAUAAUAUAUUCUGCAUGUAUCGUACUACAAUAUGUUCUGUUCGGUGCCAUCUCCCAUCUGCAAAUGCACGUUACUCUAUUUGCGUAAACAGCACGAACAUCGGACGUGGUCCAACUAUUUAAUAAUACGAGUCACGAAUUCUCUUUUGUUACACGCAUAAAAGUAUUUUUUUCCCUUCCUCAUAAUAAUACGUUUAUUUUGUAUUUUUCUGUGAAAUAAAUCCAAUAAAAGAACGCGCCAAAAAUUAUAACUACAAA
Molecule: long non-coding RNA, 1205 nt
Organism: Venturia canescens
Lineage: Eukaryota; Metazoa; Arthropoda; Insecta; Hymenoptera; Ichneumonidae
Exons: 2
Source: RefSeq, a predicted model, not a curated record